GCUUUACUGUAACUUGAAAUUGAAAUUGGACUUUAUUUGCGCAGCAUAGGUGGGAGGCAUUGAGUAGAUUCUUGCGGGGAUUUAGGAGCCAUCAGUGAGAUACCACUCUGGUAAUGUUAGAUUUCUAACUUUGUAUCAUUAUCUGGUCAAAGAACAGUUUCAGGCGGGCAGUUUGACUGGGGCGGUCGCCUCCCAAAUGGUAACGGAGGCGUACAAAGGUUUCCUCUGAACGUGUAGAAAUCGUAUCUAGAGUGUAAAGGCAUAAGGAAGCUUGACUGUGAGACCUACAAGUCGAGCAGGGACGAAAGUCGGUCUUAGUGAUCUGACGGUGCUG
This 334-nucleotide ribosomal RNA is filed under the name Nitzschia cf. ovalis. Its description in RNAcentral is "bacterial LSU rRNA". It matches the Rfam family "Bacterial large subunit ribosomal RNA", at positions 2098 to 2431 of the family's 2925-position model. Lineage: Eukaryota; Bacillariophyta; Bacillariophyceae; Bacillariales; Bacillariaceae. The record is from RNAcentral.